GUCCCUGCAGUGCAAUGGAUAGCGCUUUGGAUUUUUUCCAAAGGUCGUGGGCUCGAAUCCCACCUAGGAUG
This is a non-coding RNA of Trichonephila clavata, 71 nucleotides long. Lineage: Eukaryota; Metazoa; Arthropoda; Arachnida; Araneae; Nephilidae. The record is from the annotation of a GenBank genome assembly.